This 253-nucleotide ribosomal RNA is filed under the name uncultured bacterium. RNAcentral describes it as "partial 16S ribosomal RNA". It matches the Rfam family "Bacterial small subunit ribosomal RNA", at positions 524 to 776 of the family's 1533-position model. The record is from RNAcentral.
CACGGGGGGAGCAAGCGUUGUUCGGAAUCACUGGGCGUAAAGGGCGUGUAGGCGGUCGAGUAAGUGGAAUGUGAAAUACUCCGGCUCACCCGGAGCACUGCAUCCCAAACUGCUCGGCUUGAGUAUGGGAGAGGACAAGGGAAUUCCUGGUGUAGCGGUGAAAUGCGUAGAUAUCAGGAGGAACACCGGUGGCGAAGGCGCACAUCUGGCCCGAUACUGACGCUGAGGCGCGAAAGCUAGGGGAGCAAACGGG